UCCUUAUACACACAGCCAGGCUGAGCGGCCAGGACAGACGCAGGCAGAGCCUUGCCUAGGAGGACCUUGUCCCUCGCUCGCAGUGACUCUUUGGACUCAGGAGGGCGGGACUGCGCCUGCCUGGGACCUAGGCUGGAAACGCUGGAGCAGGUCUGCGCUGGCAUGGAGGGCACGCUCGUGCAAGUACCUUCCCGAGGCUGACGGGCUUCCCGAGAGAGACAAGCACGCUGCCGGCCGCAGCCCCUCCUCCGAGCCUCUCACCCCUUGGGCCACGACGGCCUGGUGGAGGCUGAAGCCACAGCAGCCGGCCCAGGGCCGUGGCGCACUGGUGCCGCCCCGUGACUGACGGGGCCACCAGGAGGCCCAAAACCCUCGUGAAGGUGUCUGUGCAGGUCCCACAGCACCGUCCUGGGUGUGGUCUGAGGCCACCCCAGGAUGACCCCCGCCGCCUCCCCCGGUCCAGCUCCCUGCUGAGGCCUCUGCGGCCACAUGGACUGUCGUGGGUCCAGAGCAGCAGAAAGAACACCCCCGCCUGCAGCCCCUACGGGCUCCAAGACUCAGGAAGGCUCCCCGCACAGCCUGGUCCAGGCAGGGUGGGUGGGGGAGUGGGGGGUCCCUGUCUCUGAACACCUCGCCCUGAGCCACAACCUCUCCCAAACAGGCGGCCGGGAGAAGCGGCAGGGAGCGUGUGCUGGGACAUCUCAGCACCUCAUGUGGUCUCUGACCCUCAUGUCCUUCUCUGUGAAGUUAGGACAAUGAUAACAUGCAGCACUGCCGUGAGGAUUAAAUAUGACGGGUGUAAACACUGCCUGGAGCCUGGCAGAUGGCCGGUGCCCCUUAAACAUGGUCACCAUGAGAUCAGAAAUGCGAGGGUUGGGAGGGCUCACCCACUUCCUUCACCAAACGUUGGAAUUAAUGCGGCUAAAAAUGACUUGCCGCUCAGGGGCGCCCGGUGGCUCAGCCAGUCAAGCAUCAGAUUCCCGAUUUCGGCCCGGGUCGCGUUCUCGGCGUUUGUGAGAUCGAGCCCGCGUGGGUCUCUGUGCCGACAGCACGGAGACUGUUUGGGAUUCUCUCUCUCCCUCUCUCUCUCUGCUCCUCCCCAGCUCACACUUUGUCCCUCUCUCUCAAAAUAAGUAUUUUUUUUUUU
This is a long non-coding RNA of Neofelis nebulosa (Clouded leopard), 1147 nucleotides long. RefSeq lists it as uncharacterized. NCBI's taxonomy places the organism in Eukaryota, Metazoa, Chordata, Mammalia, Carnivora, Felidae. The record is from RefSeq and is a predicted model, not a curated record. The transcript has 2 exons.